Molecule: long non-coding RNA, 594 nt
Organism: Ictalurus furcatus (blue catfish)
Lineage: Eukaryota; Metazoa; Chordata; Actinopteri; Siluriformes; Ictaluridae
Exons: 2
Source: RefSeq, a predicted model, not a curated record
GCGGCCUGGAUAACCACUCUCCGUGAACGGACGAGCAGAGACACAGCGCCAGCUGAUCGUCCAAAAGCUCGCAUUGUUGGAUUUUUCACUUAUUUCUGCUUGCAACAGAACAUAGCUGGAAUUUGUAUUUAAGACGUUAUGGCAGGGAAUUCAUUGGAGUCCAAACUGCAGAACCCACAACUAAGCCCAUCAGGAGCCGUUAUUCAGAGAAAUGAAGUGCAGAUUGUUUGUGCCGACGCAUGAAGCUGCUUGGUGUAUCCUCUCAUCACAAGCAAGCUGCACUGCCAUGUAGGAACAAGCAGGAAUACAUUAAAAGGUAAUGAGAGAUCAGUCAGAAGAGGGUCAUGCAGGGCACUGUUUGGCAUCGCCAUUGCUGGGAUAGAGCUUUCAGCGUGACUGCCUUGUUGUCUCUGUUGAGGAGCCAGAAGGGGUGGAGUUCAACAACGUUCCUCAUGGCAACAGUUGCUAAGCCUUGCUUCUUGUUGAUGUGGUUAUUUGUAAAUCAAAACUGGGUGCAAGAGAUUAGCAAGCAUUGUAUAUAUGUAUGUUAUUUCACAUAUUAACUAUGAUUUGAAUAAAUAUUAUCAUCCAAGA